Molecule: ribosomal RNA, 428 nt
Filed under: Salmonella enterica subsp. enterica serovar Enteritidis
Lineage: Bacteria; Pseudomonadati; Pseudomonadota; Gammaproteobacteria; Enterobacterales; Enterobacteriaceae
Description: partial 23S ribosomal RNA
Rfam family: Bacterial large subunit ribosomal RNA
Source: RNAcentral
AAUCCAUAGGUUAAUGAGGCGAACCGGGGGAACUGAAACAUCUAAGUACCCCGAGGAAAAGAAAUCAACCGAGAUUCCCCCAGUAGCGGCGAGCGAACGGGGAGGAGCCCAGAGCCUGAAUCAGCAUGUGUGUUAGUGGAAGCGUCUGGAAAGGCGCGCGAUACAGGGUGACAGCCCCGUACACAAAAGCGCAUGUGCUGUGAGCUCGAUGAGUAGGGCGGGACACGUGGUAUCCUGUCUGAAUAUGGGGGGACCAUCCUCCAAGGCUAAAUACUCCUGACUGACCGAUAGUGAACCAGUACCGUGAGGGAAAGGCGAAAAGAACCCCGGCGAGGGGAGUGAAAAAGAACCUGAAACCGUGUACGUACAAGCAGUGGGAGCCCCACCACCAAAGCAUUUGCUGUACCGCGUUGACGGAGCGAAGCGAC